GACGAACGCUGGCGGCGUGCUUAACACAUGCAAGUCGAACGGAAAGGCCCUGCUUUUGUGGGGUGCUCGAGUGGCGAACGGGUGAGUAACACGUGAGUAACCUGCCCUUGACUUUGGGAUAACUUCAGGAAACUGGGGCUAAUACCGGAUAGGAGCUCCUGCUGCAUGGUGGGGGUUGGAAAGUUUCGGCGGUUGGGGAUGGGCUCGCGGCUUAUCAGCUUGUUGGUGGGGUAGUGGCUUACCAAGGCUUUGACGGGUAGCCGGCCUGAGAGGGUGACCGGCACAAUUGGGACUGAGAUACGGCCCAGACUCCUACGGGAGGCAGCAGUGGGGAAUAUUGCACAAUGGGCGGAAGCCUGAUGCAGCAACGCCGCGUGCGGGAUGACGGCCUUCGGGUUGUAAACCGCUUUCGCCUGUGACGAAGCGUGAGUGACGGUAAUGGGUAAAGAAGCACCGGCUAACUACGUG
This 468-nucleotide ribosomal RNA is filed under the name uncultured bacterium. RNAcentral describes it as "partial 16S ribosomal RNA". It matches the Rfam family "Bacterial small subunit ribosomal RNA", at positions 28 to 507 of the family's 1533-position model. The record is from RNAcentral.